AGAAAGGAAGGAAAAAGCUUGGCCAAAUUGGAUAGAAACCAUUAGGGUUUCUUGGAAAAAGUAGCUUCCAUCGGCUAUAAAUGAGUCCUCUUCUACCCAACAAGCAACAACCACAUCCAGAGAGAAGCUAGCUUUCUCUCUUACCUUAAAAACCCAGCAAUUCCGUGCUCUAUUCACUAUUCUCCCCCAUUUUUCCUCUUCUGGCAGACUGUUCUAACAUUUGAUAGAACCUCUGUCAAGCUGCCGGAAACAUACUUUAAGACACCCAUUGUUCUCUUUUUCCCUUUUUCUCAGUUAAACCCUCUUGCAAACCUUUCCUCUCUUACCUUAACGCAUAGCUUUCUCUUUAGUGCUACACUCAUGACAAUUUUGCUUCCAUGCCACAAGCCUCUCAUGCCAAGCUAAAAAACCUAUCUGUAAGCUCUUGUUAUUUUUGUUGGUGAAGGUAACCAAAGUGCUUCCUAAGGCUUCACUAUCCUUUCGAAGCAUUUUUGGG
RNAcentral lists this long non-coding RNA (496 nucleotides) under Prunus persica (peach). Its description in RNAcentral is "long non-coding RNA (PPER_LNC006996)". The record is from RNAcentral. Lineage: Eukaryota; Viridiplantae; Streptophyta; Magnoliopsida; Rosales; Rosaceae.